UAAUCUUUCACACCUGCCAAUUGUGCUGGCCAGUCCAUUGAUCAGGAUGAAUAAGAACCUGGAAGACAUCGAUGGUCCCCACCCCAUCCGAUAACUGGGGCCUCAGAGAACUUUGGCAGCUAAGCCCUGCAGAGGAGCCUGGAGUGUGGACAGAGACGGCUGCCAUCGCUCAGCCAGAGCAGCCUCAGGAAGCCCAAGGGAGCUGUGAACAGGGAGCUCGCAGUAAGCAAAACUUCUGGUGGCGGGGGCCACAAAGCCUGUGGAGGGAGCACGUCUUGUCCCAUGCGUCCAAGCCCCUCCUCAGGGCUGCUGGAGAGGACACUGCCUGGAAAAAGCCAACAGCCACAUCCCUAGCCUGUCCCCUGCCUGGAACCUCUGGCCAGCCCUGGCCUCAGGGCCCCCUACCCUGUGUGCGGAGGAACAGAGGCUGUGCCUGGCAGACUGCCUCCAGGGUGGCUGGGGCACCCGCUCUUCUCAAGGCAAGGCAGGCAUGAUCUGGUCUUUGCUCUGUGUCCCACAUUCAGUCCCACUGAUCAGUGCAUUAAUAGUGGAUAGAAAGAAUAAAAUGUCACCAGUUCUAAAAGAAGAAGAUAAAAUCUCCCUAAUGUGUCUGUAUUCUAGCUCUGGACACAGCCAAGCUCAAUCAAGGGCAUUGUCUACUAACUUCUGGAAGGACAAGAUUGGCAACUGUUGGGUGACAAUCAGAAAAUUUCAGAAAUGUGGAAUCUUAGGACUCAACUAUCCCCAAGUCACAUGGGAAAAGGGCAGCCUGAAGGGAGCCUUCUCAGCAGCCCAAAGUCACUUGAGAAAUCUAAACUAGGCAUAUGGCGCAUGCUUAUAAUUCCAGCACUCAGGAGGCUGAGGUGAGAGGAUUGCUGCAAGUUCGAGGAUAACCUGGGCUACAUAGUGAGUUCAAGGUCAUCCUGGACUACAUAGCCAUACCCUAUCUAGAAAGAAAAAGCCAAGUAUGGUGGCGCCUAUAAUCCCAGCACUUAGGAGGAUGAGGCAGGACAAUCGCUGUGAGUUUGAGGCCAACCUGAGCUACAAAGUGAGUUCAAGUCCAGCUUGAACUGCACAGCGAGACCCUGUCUCAAAAAGACCAAAAAAAAAAAAAAAAACAAGAGAAAAAGGGAGCCCAGUGCUCUCAUGGUAUAGAUGAGGAACUGCGGUAUAAAGGUUUGCCUCAAGCUGCCCCGCACACUGAGGCAGUGUGACCCAGGUCUCCUAAUCUGAUCGUCUUGUUUCUUUGUGUUCCACCCCCAUUAGAAUGCAUUGCUGAUAAUCUGACCCACAGAUGCCUGUGCCUCCUUCUCGGAGACAUCCAGACAGGGUCCAGCUGGUGUCAGACCCCCAGAGUGUCCUGGCCUGGAACAGCCCCCAGUUCCCAGCAAACUCUCCCAUGAUCGGAAAAACUCCAUUGAUGUGAUGAUUUCCCAACAUCAGAAUUAUAUGUUUUCAAGAGCCCCUCUUGUAAAACAUACAAUUUGGAGAGGAACAUUGGUCAUGAGCAUUAAUGGUUUCUCCCUAUCUAAUUAAGAAAGCAGAGCUUGGCUCCAGGGCAAGUCGAUACUUUGAAACCUUUGUGACAAAUUUGCAUAAACACCCUUAUUUCAAAUGAAAAAUGAAA
Long non-coding RNA from Chinchilla lanigera (long-tailed chinchilla), 1627 nucleotides. Lineage: Eukaryota; Metazoa; Chordata; Mammalia; Rodentia; Chinchillidae. The record is from Ensembl.